AGAGCGAACGCUGGCGGCAGGCUUAACACAUGCAAGUCGAGCGCCCCGCAAGGGGAGCGGCAGACGGGAGAGUAACACGUGGGAACGUACCUUUCGGUUCGGAACAACCCAGGGAAACUUGGGCUAAUACCGGAUACGUCCGUAAGGAGAAAGAUUUAUCGCCGAAAGAUCGGCCCGCGUCUGAUUAGCUAGUUGGUGAGGUAACGGCUCACCAAGGCGACGAUCAGUAGCUGGUCUGAGAGGAUGAUCAGCCUCACUGGGACUGAGACACGGCCCAGACUCCUACGGGAGGCAGCAGUGGGGAAUAUUGGACAAUGGGCGCAAGCCUGAUCCAGCCAUGCCGCGUGGGUGAUGAAGGCCCUAGGGUUGUAAAGCCCUUUCGGCGGGAAGAUAAUGACGGUACCCGCAGAAGAAGCCCGGCUAACUUCGUGCCAGCAGCCGC
Molecule: ribosomal RNA, 442 nt
Filed under: uncultured bacterium
Lineage: Bacteria
Description: SSU rRNA
Rfam family: Bacterial small subunit ribosomal RNA
Source: RNAcentral